CAUCUUUGUGGAAGCCAUGAUCAGCCAUUCUCAACUGGGCACUUGAAUGGCUGGGAGCGAGUAGUGCAACCGACCCCAUAAUCU
RNAcentral lists this non-coding RNA (84 nucleotides) under Paenibacillus naphthalenovorans. RNAcentral describes it as "c-di-GMP-II sequence". It matches the Rfam family "Cyclic di-GMP-II riboswitch aptamer". The record is from Rfam by way of RNAcentral. Lineage: Bacteria; Bacillati; Bacillota; Bacilli; Caryophanales; Paenibacillaceae.